CUCAAUGAAAAUCAAUAGCCGCAAUGUUCUUGUGCUAAGGUAGCAUAAUCAUUUGUUUUUUAAUUAAAAACUAGAACGAAAGAUUUAAUAUUUUUAUUACUAUCUUAUAUAUAUAAAUUUAAUUUAUUCUAAAUAUAAAAAAAUAUUUAUUCAUUAAAAAGACGAUAAGACCCUAUUGAACUUCACUAAAGUUUAACUGGGGUAGUUAAUUAAAUAUUAUUUUAAUUUAAAUUUUUAAACAAACCUUCUAUAAUUAAAAUAAUUAAGUUACCAUAGGGAUAACAGCGCAAUAAUUUUUUCAAGAUCUUAUUUAAAAACUUGUUUGCGACCUCGAUGUUGAAUUAUUUAUCUAUUAAAUGCAAUAAUUUAAUAACGAAAGUC
Molecule: ribosomal RNA, 381 nt
Filed under: Papiliocoelotes guanyinensis
Lineage: Eukaryota; Metazoa; Arthropoda; Arachnida; Araneae; Agelenidae
Description: partial 16S ribosomal RNA
Source: RNAcentral